RNAcentral lists this ribosomal RNA (253 nucleotides) under uncultured bacterium. RNAcentral describes it as "partial 16S ribosomal RNA". It matches the Rfam family "Bacterial small subunit ribosomal RNA", at positions 524 to 776 of the family's 1533-position model. The record is from RNAcentral.
UACGUAGGGACCGAGCGUUGUCCGGAUUCAUUGGGCGUAAAGAGCUCGUAGGCGGCUGCUCAAGUCGAAUGUGAAAACUCGAGGCUCAACCUCGAGCCUGCAUUCGAUACUGGGCGGCUAGAGUCUGGUAGGGGGAUCUGGAAUUCCUGGUGUAGCGGUGGAAUGCGCAGAUAUCAGGAGGAACACCGGUGGCGAAGGCGGGAUCCUGGGCCAGUACUGACGCUGAGGCGCGAAAGCUAGGGGAGCAAACGGG